This 1374-nucleotide ribosomal RNA is filed under the name metagenome. RNAcentral describes it as "bacterial LSU rRNA". It matches the Rfam family "Bacterial large subunit ribosomal RNA", at positions 1565 to 2925 of the family's 2925-position model. The record is from RNAcentral.
GAUGCGUAGCCGUAGCGGCGAAAUCCAUGAUCCUAUGCUGCCGAGAAAAGCCUCUAGCGAGCUGGUACAUGGCCCGUACCCCAAACCGACACAGGUGGUCAGGUAGAGAAUACUAAGGCGAUCGAGAGAACUGUGGUUAAGGAACUCGGCAAAAUGCCCCCGUAACUUCGGGAGAAGGGGGACCAGUCCUGGUGACGACAUUUACUGUCUGAGCUGGGGUUGGUCGCAGAGACCAGAGAGAAGCGACUGUUUACUGAAAACACAGGUCCGUGCGAAGUCGUAAGACGAUGUAUACGGACUGACGCCUCCCCGGUGCUGGAAGGUUAAGAGGACCGGUCAGCCACUUCGGUGGCGAAGCUGAGAAUUUAAGCCCCAGUAAACGGCGGUGGUAACUAUAACCAUCCUAAGGUAGCGAAAUUCCUUGUCGGGUAAGUUCCGACCUGCACGAAUGGCGUAACGACUUCUCUGCUGUCUCAACCACAGACUCGCGAAAUUGCAGUACGAGUAAAGAUGCUCGUUACGCGCGGCAGGACGAAAAGACCCCGGGACCUUCACUAUAGCUUGGUAUUGGUGUUCGGUUCGGUUUGUGUAGGAUAGGUGGGAGACUGUGAAACUCGCACGCCAGUGUGGGUGGAGUCAUUGUUGAAAUACCACUCUGACCGUAUUGGACAUCUAACCUCGGACCAUGAUCUGGUUCAGGGACAGUGCCUGGUGGGUAGUUUAACUGGGGCGGUUGCCUCCUAAAAAGUAACGGAGGCGCCCAAAGGUUCCCUCAGCCUGGUUGGCAAUCAGGUGUUGAGUGUAAGUGCACAAGGGAGCUUGACUGUGAGACGUACAUGUCGAGCAGGGACGAAAGUCGGGACUAGUGAUCCGGCACCGGCAAGUGGAAGCGGUGUCGCUCAACGGAUGAAAGGUACCCCGGGGAUAACAGGCUGAUCUUCCCCAAGAGUCCAUAUCGACGGGAUGGUUUGGCACCUCGAUGUCGGCUCGUCGCAUCCUGGGGCUGGAGUAGGUCCCAAGGGUUGGGCUGUUCGCCCAUUAAAGCGGCACGCGAGCUGGGUUUAGAACGUCGUGAGACAGUUCGGUCUCUAUCCGCCGCGCGCGUAAGAAACUUGAGGAAACCUGUCCCUAGUACGAGAGGACCGGGACGGACGAACCUCUGGUGUGCCAGUUGUUCCACCAGGAGCACCGCUGGUUAGCUACGUUCGGAAGGGAUAACCGCUGAAAGCAUCUAAGCGGGAAGCCUGUUCCAAGAUGAGGUUUCUCACCACCUAGCGUGGUUAAGGCCCCCCACAGACCAUGGGGUUGAUAGGCCAGAACUGUAAGCACAGCAAUGUGUUCAGGUGACUGGUACUAAUCGGCCGAGGACUUACU